Molecule: ribosomal RNA, 499 nt
Filed under: uncultured bacterium
Lineage: Bacteria
Description: bacterial SSU rRNA
Rfam family: Bacterial small subunit ribosomal RNA
Source: RNAcentral
GACGAACGCUGGCGGCGCGCCUAACACAUGCAAGUCGAGCGAUGAACAGAGAAUGGAAAUCUUCGGAUAGAAAUUCACUAGGAUUAGCGGCGAACGGGUGAGUAACACGUGAGCAACCUACCUCUAUCAUGGGGAUAGCCUCGGGAAACUGGGAUUAAUACCCAAUAAAAUUUUCAAAUCGCAUGAUAAGGAAAUCAAAACUCCGGUGGAUAGAGAUGGGCUCGCGCCUGAUUAACUAGUUGGUAAGGUAAUGGCUUACCAAGGUUGCGAUCAGUAAUCGGCCUGAGAGGGUGAACGGUCACAUUGGAACUGAGACACGGUCCAAACUCCUACGGGAGGCAGCAGUGGGGAAUAUUGCACAAUGGGGGAAACCCUGAUGCAGCGACGCCGCGUGAGCGAUGAAGGUAUUCGUAUCGUAAAGCUCUGUCCUUGGGGAAGAUAAUGACGGUACCCAAGGAGGAAGCCCCGGCUAACUACGUGCCAGCCGCCGCCGUAACAC